This 341-nucleotide ribosomal RNA is filed under the name uncultured soil bacterium. RNAcentral's name for it is "bacterial SSU rRNA". It matches the Rfam family "Bacterial small subunit ribosomal RNA", at positions 26 to 367 of the family's 1533-position model. The record is from RNAcentral.
AGAUUGAACGCUGGCGGCAUGCUUUACACAUGCAAGUCGAACGGUAACAGGCCGCAAGGUGCUGACGAGUGGCGAACGGGUGAGUAAUGCAUCGGAACGUGCCCAGUCGUGGGGGAUAACGCAGCGAAAGCUGUGCUAAUACCGCAUACGAUCUAUGGAUGAAGCGGGGGACCGAAAGGCCUCGCGCGAUCGGAGCGGCCGAUGUCAGAUUAGCUAGUUGGUAGGGUAAAGCCCACGAACGGCGACGAUCUGUAGCUGGUCUGAGACGGACGACCCGCCACACUGGAACUGAGACACGGUCCAGACCUCCGUACGGGAGCGAGCGAGGUAGGGUAAGUUUU